Molecule: ribosomal RNA, 463 nt
Filed under: uncultured bacterium
Lineage: Bacteria
Description: partial 16S ribosomal RNA
Rfam family: Bacterial small subunit ribosomal RNA
Source: RNAcentral
GAUGAACGCUGACAGAAUGCUUAACACAUGCAAGUCUUUGGCGAAGCUGUGCUUGCACAGCCCAGCCAAGGCGGACGGGUGAGUAACGCGUAAGGAACUUGCCCUGCAGUCAGGGAUAACAGACGGAAACGACUGAUAAGACCUGGUAAAGUCAGGCGGACUCAUGUCCAGCCUGAUGAAAAGAGAUGCUGCAGGAGAGCCUUGCGUCCUAUUAGCUUGUUGGUGGGGUAACGGCCCACCAAGGCGAUGAUAGGUAGCCGGCCUGAGAGGGUGGACGGCCACAAGGGGACUGAGAUACGGCCCUUACUCCUACGGGAGGCAGCAGUGGGGAAUAUUGGACAAUGGGGGCAACCCUGAUCCAGCAAUUCUGUGUGCACGAUGAAGGUUUUCGGAUUGUAAAGUGCUUUCAGCAGGGAAGAAAAAAAUGACGGUACCUGCAGAAGAAGCGACGGCUAAAUACGUG